GUAAACUCCAAAUUGCAUGAAAAAAAAAGUCCGAAUUGCGAGCAAUUCUAAUAUAUAAAGUCGCAGUUACCUUUAAGAAAAAACAACAUUUCUCCAUGCCAGAAACGGACUUCCAUAUAUAUUAGAAUGAGUGCAUUAAUUUAAAUAAUGUAACCGACACUAGUCAGAGCUGCUGUUGUAGAAAACUGAUCAACACUCUCUGACCAAUCAGAAUCGAGAAUUCAACAACACUGAGGUAGUUAAUUUAAUAAAUGGUUAUUCUUAACAAAUGGUAUUACCUUGCUAAGUUUAAAGGCGGGUGUGUCAUGACGUACACACGCAGUUUAUAAGAGGCUAAACCGAAGGCUAUACACUUCCCUUAGUUGUUAGCACAAAACUAAAGAACCGACCUUCAGAAACUGAACAUGUCUUGACUGAUUGAUUGCAUAUUGGUUACGUGAUUCCACAAGCUCAUUUUAAUAUAAAAUAAAUAUCAAACAGGACAAUGUUAACCUGAAACAGAAAUAAGUGUGUAGUAGCUCAACAGCAACAGUAAGUAGUAUAAUAUACUAAGCACUUGUAAUUAUACUAUAAUAAGGUUAAUCAUAUACAUUUGCAAAGAAAAUAUUUAUAUAUAGAAUCCUAUAACUGGUGGUUUUCCUUUUAGAAAUGGUUCCAAGUAUAACCUCUUUAGGGAAAAAAAACCCCAUUGAGGAACAUUUAUUUUUAAUGUACAGAAAGAAAGGUUAGAUUAAAUCAUUCUUAGGUUUGACCCUUUAAGAUAACACUUAAAAGUUUUAUGUAGAAGCAGACAGGGUUCAGGCAGAACCCUUUAAGAAAGCAAAGAAUCCUUAAAUAUACCAAGAACUGACAAGUAACUCUGAUUUCCAAUCCAUGUGACGUACAUAUCAAUGCAUUAAAGACCUACUGAAAAACCACAUCUGGUGUUAAAACAGUAGCUGUUCGUUUGUAGUUUCUUGUGUUUGAGGUGCAGCACUCUGACGUGGAGAAAGAACGGGGGAAGGAAUCAUCGCCGUCUGCUUCUCUUUAUCAAAGGCUAAUCCCUCAUUCAUGCUGGGAGCGUGUGAACUACAACACAAAGAGCUUACACACACCCUAGGCAUGCCAACAUCACAAAUACAGCACAGGCCAGGUGUUAAUGCUCACACAACUAGGUGCUAAUUGGUCUAUAGGGAGUUGCAAUGAUGCGUGCACAUAGGUGGGUGUGAUUUAAUUUGAGGUGGCUUAUCAAAAAAUGCUGAAAAUGGUUUGUUAAAAUGGUGCGUUUUAAAUUCAUAUGAACAAAAUGUAUUUAUUCUUAGGGAAUAUGCUGGUUUUACAGAAUUGUAUGUAUGUAUGUAUUUAUUUGCCUACCAGUGACAUUUAAUCAGUUUAACCGUUACUCCAGUAAGUCCAUUUCUGCAUGUUCUAUUAUUAUUAUUUAUUAUUAUUAUUAUUGCCUGUGGCAGUGUUGUGAACAGAAACUGGUGCUCAUGAGUACUUUUUCUUAGUUUGUUCCCUUAAUUUUGCACAUAUUAAUGAUGUUUUUUUGCACAUGAACAUUCCUUCACACUAAACCAAGACUUUGUUUUGUUUUUGCACUGAUAUCUGUGUACUGUGUGUGAUCAGAUAUGAUUAAUAUGUGAAAUUAUAAAUACAUUUCCUACAAUCUCAACCUGGUCUACACUGCCACCUAGUGCGUAUUUCUCGUUUUAGUGUAUUGCCCAGAGAUAUUGGGUCGGAUCAUUCCCCGCCGUCUGCUCUAACACACUCUGAAAAGUGAGUCAGAUCAUUUGACUCGCUAAUAAAGAGUCGACUCUUUGACCACCCAACCGGCUCAUUGGCAUUUUCAAUAAACCGGGCAAAGUGCUGAAUCUUACUCUACCUUCUAACUGUCAAAAUAACACUCCUCUGCAUGUUAAACAAUCUUUUUAAACUACUGUGAAAUCAGCAAUGGGCUCUAGACGUUCACCUAAAAGAGCCGACUCAAAGAUCCGACUCAUUUGCAAACGACACAUCACUGCAAAGUUGGAAAAACAUCCUGUACUGAAAAGCUCAUGAGCUAGCAACAAGCUACCCAACUAACAUUCGUGAUGUAUUUACAUUUGAUAGCAAUAAACCGUAUGAUUAAUGCUAGAGAUUUAACCAAAUAACAUGUCUGUUUGUGAAUCUAAAGUAAAUACUAUUAUAAUCUUAUUUAAAAGUAGAGAAUGGUACUUUAUUUACUGCUGAUGGUGUGAGCAGCCAUGCUGAUAUGACGUCACGAGCUGAACUCGGAGUUGAGAAGACCUUCCCGGCUUCCAAGCUGAGGGGAUAUUUCUUUGGUUUUAUCUAGUCUGUGGUCUGGAGUCCAGUCUAUGGUCUGAAAUUAUUUUGGUUGAAAAUAGCGGAAACACCGCGUCACGGACACGGCGCAUGCGCACUGCGCGCUUGUAAACCACGCAUGCGCACUGCGCGCUUUAAAUGCGGUCUGCGAGCGCGUAACCGUCCCAGUCCGUUUGCAGCAUUGAGGCACCAAUGUGUCUUGCUGGCUUCACGUGAAGGAUAAUGCAGGCCAAGAGCCUCACUUCCGGCUCUUGGUCACGUGGUUAUUACCAGCGUAGGAGGUGGGACUCGCGCCCUUUUUCUGCAGAAGACCUGAGCCCCAUUCACUCCAAUGGAAAAUUGUAUGAUCAGCCAACAGCAGAAAGGUGAAUUAGAUGACAUGAAGAUGCACAUCCACUUGUGUACAUGAAGUGUAAUCCUUUCUUACAUUAAGUGAGUGAGGCCUGCACCAUCAUGGUAUUUGGGAACAUCAUGAACCUGCAGCUCCGCUGACAUCCAGAUGGUUCCAGGACUUGGUUUUCUUUCUAAGGAUGCAAAACUGAUCCUGAGGCCCAGUGGGUGGGUGUUCCAACACUUUUUUGGGUGUGUCCCCCCGUCCCCCCUAAGGUUGUAAAACUGAGAUCAUGGCAUGAAGCAUCUUUGAAUGGGCUCAAGGGGAGGUGCCCAAGGGCUAUCAUGGAUUGCUAUAACAUUCAAGCUGAGGUGUUGAUUGGUGGUCAAGUUGCAGUCAGAUUAAUGGGAGGGAUAGCAGUGUGACCAUUGGUGGAUUUAAGGUGGCCACCCUGCUUGACCCCCGGGGGUGUGAAGGUGUUCCAGGAAUGUUACACUGCAUGUGUGCACACACAGGCCUUGUUUUUCUGACUGAAGUCGUAAAUGAGGCUGUUAAAAUCCAAUUUGCUGGCAUGCCAUCACCAGUUGGAAACAGUGUAGUUUCCUUAUAAACUGCAGCAGUGACCAUGCCGUUUUCUCAUUUUCUCAAAGUUCUCCAAAUUGUCUCAAUUUUGUCCAUUUAAAAUCUUCCUCCAGCUGCAUAUAUCUUAUGGAGUUUAGCUGUGCCCGGAUGAAGAUCUAGUCUGGGGAAGGAUGGAACAUCAUUCAAAAAUGCAAACACCUGUGGAACCGAUGCAGUUGUUUCAACUGUGGCUACUGUAGCUGUAGGCAUGAUUGAUUAGAUCAGGGGUUCCCAAAUUUUUCCAGUGCAAGGCCCCCUUCAGUCAAAUGUUAAUGGCAUUAACAUUUGACUGAGGCCCUCCUUUUGCAAGAUGUCUUUAAAACACAUUAAAAAUACAGAUUUUUGGAAUAUUAAUUUAAAAAAGGGGAUAUAAUCAUCUCACAUCAUUUACAUUAGGGGUGGGUGGUUGUCUUGAGUGAGAAUUUAUCUUUCACACCAAAUUGGUGAGGACCCCUGGUUUGAAAACCACUGGAUUAGAUUCAGUAGCCUGGUGAUAUCCAGUCAAGUUAGGGGUUUUCAUUUUUGUACAUAUCCAUGCCCAUAUAUUGACUUUAUAUGAUGAGUACAUUUAUGAUGGGUGUAUAUCUUAAAUUGCUGGAUGUAGACUGUAAUAGAGCCUUUUGAAUUCUCUUGUGUUGAAACUGUGAAAUAAGCUGAUAUUCAGGUUGGUAUAUGACUCAAAGGAUCUAUGUAAUGAACCAUUUAGACUCAAGGUACUUGUAAAAAGUCAACUUUUUAAAAAAUAUAUAUUUAUCAAAAAAUAUAACAACCUUAUCCUACUGCAUUUAAGAGCAAUUCAAAUGCUAUUGCACCAUGCUGAUGUACUAUAGAUUUGCACAGAAUAAAGGAAAUGUUUCACAUUUUGAUUCAGCAGCUUCUUUUCUAGAUAAAAGCAUUUUAGGACAGCGGUGUACCCGAUCUAUUGAUCUCCCUAUAAACUGUUCCUGGACUGGCUGGGUUGAAGAAAGCUUUGAUCAUCUGGAUUAUUGUGCAGGAGGUCUACGUCUUUUCACGACGUAGACGCUCGCUCCAAUGAUGCUUUCAAGGACUAAUCCAAAGAGUGUGACCUGUACAGGAACUUCAUUGCAGUUGUUGGUUAAUAGUUGUAGCCCUGUUAAAUAAUUUGAUUAUUAGGAAAGCUGUAGACUGAGAAACUGUGAACACUAAUAAGGAUUUAGGUGUCAGUUUAGUCUUGACAUGAAUGGAGACUGACUCUACACCAGUACAAACAGUACAAGUACAGUGUUUGAAUAAGGGAUGAAUUUACCUUCUUUCAGUGAAACAGCUCGUGGUUCUCCUUCCUGAGAUUCAUCAUGGAUGAGACACUGAUAAAAUCUUGCAUCAGACCGGUGAACUGAACUGAUGUGAAGGGACAGAUCACCAUCUAGGAAGCCUUCUGCUGACAUCAUAAAUCUGCCUGGUGAUGCUUCCUCAGUAGUCACCGAUCUAUUUUCCUGAGUACAGCAGAAGUGUUCGUCCAGCUUUCUUCCAUUUUAUAUCUUUAACACCUUGCCAAGUGUCUCCGUAGCAGGGGAGGGUGACAUUCUCCCCCUCAAAAGGCUUAACAUCUGUUGGAACUGUCAGACAAAAACAAAUGUCAUGUUCUUUUUAGCCUUCUACUUUGAUUUUCAGUAAGAGCUAGACCUGUCCCAGUCAGGCUGGAUAGACUUUACUACAGACAUGUUCAGAGUCACGUUAUUUCCAUCGUGGUAAUAAGACUUACUCAUGGUACACUUACCAUACACCUGAAGCUUUUCUUCAGUAACUGGAUGUCCAUCAUAGCUGCACCUGUAGGAGCCAACAUCGGUGUAGACGACUGAACUGAUACUUAUGGAGUAAUUUCCUCUGCUGGUAUCUCCUGAUACUUCAAAUCUUUUCUGAAAAUGCUGUUCAAUCCGCCAUGUCUGGCUGUCACACUUAGCAACGACGUCUUUACUGGGAAGGAAGCGGGUCCACAGAACCACUGGUUGGUUUCCAGAGCAGAUACAUGGGAAGGUCACAGGUUCAUUAACUAAGAUUUGUCUGAUGAUAAAACCCUGGCACUGCAGGAUUAACAGGUGAACUAAUGGAUCAGAGAACAAAUUAAAUUAGACAUUUUGAACAUUUGACACAAUUACAUCAGAAGAAAAAAUCCUGUCUACAACUGAUAGCUGUUUUAAUUUACUCUUUCAGAAAUAGUUUGGACACAGUAUGGGUUUAAAACCGUGACACUUUCCAAUCAGAGGGACUCGUGUGCUUAAAACCAACUUGAUGGUGUUCUCUCACAACAAUGG
This is a long non-coding RNA of Ictalurus punctatus (channel catfish), 5529 nucleotides long. NCBI's taxonomy places the organism in Eukaryota, Metazoa, Chordata, Actinopteri, Siluriformes, Ictaluridae. The record is from Ensembl.